This 691-nucleotide ribosomal RNA is filed under the name Nothocybe distincta. Its description in RNAcentral is "LSU rRNA". It matches the Rfam family "Eukaryotic large subunit ribosomal RNA", at positions 72 to 753 of the family's 3401-position model. Lineage: Eukaryota; Fungi; Basidiomycota; Agaricomycetes; Agaricales; Inocybaceae. The record is from RNAcentral.
GGAUUCCCCUAGUAACUGCGAGUGAAGCGGGAAAAGCUCAAAUUUAAAAUCUGGCAGUCUUUGGCUGUCCGAGUUGUAAUCUAGAGAAGUGUUACCCGUGCAGGACCGUGUACAAGUCUCCUGGAAUGGAGCAUCAUAGAGGGUGAGAAUCCCGUCUUUGACACGGACUACCUGUGCUGUGUGGUGCGCUCUCAAAGAGUCGAGUUGUUUGGGAAUGCAGCUCAAAAUGGGUGGUAAAUGCCAUCUAAAGCUAAAUAUUGGCGAGAGACCGAUAGCGAACAAGUACCGUGAGGGAAAGAUGAAAAGAACUUUGGAAAGAGAGUUAAACAGUACGUGAAAUUGCUGAAAGGGAAACGCUUGAAGUCAGUCGCGUUGGCUAGAAAUCAACCUUGCUUUUGCUGGGUGUACUUUCUGGUUGACGGGUCAGCAUCAAUUUUGACCACUGGAUAAAGUCUUUGGGAAUGUGGCAUCUUUGGAUGUGUUAUAGCCUGUUGACGCAUACAGUGGUUGGGAUUGAGGAACUCAGCACGCCGCAAGGCCGGGUUUCGACCACGUUCGUGCUUAGGAUGCUGGCAUAAUGGCUUUAAUCGACCCGUCUUGAAACACGGACCAAGGAGUCUAACAUGCCUGCGAGUGUUUGGGUGGAAAACCCAUGCGCAUAAUGAAAGUGAAAGUUGAGAUCCUUCUUGGG